AUACGUAGGUGGCCAGCGUUGUCCGGAAUUAUUGGGCGUAAAGCGCAUGUAGGCGGUUUGGUAAGUCGGUCGUGAACAUGCGGUGCUUAACGCCGUAUGGCGAUUGAAACUGCUGAACUUGAGUGCAGGAGAGGAAAGGGGAACUCCCAGUGUAGCGGUGAAAUGCGUAUAGAUUGGGAAGAACACCGGUGGCUAAGGCGCAUUUCUGGGAUGGGUCGGCAGUUCAGAUGCGAAAGCCAGUGUAGCGAGCGGGAGUAGAUGCCGGGGUAGUCCUGGUCGUAAACGAGGGGUACUCGUUGUGGGAGGAAUCCCCCCUUUGCGUGCCGGACGUAAAGUAAUACGGACCAAGGCUGGGGAGCACGGCAGCACGGCUUAAGCUCAAACGAAAAUACGGGG
This 396-nucleotide ribosomal RNA is filed under the name uncultured bacterium. RNAcentral describes it as "partial 16S ribosomal RNA". It matches the Rfam family "Bacterial small subunit ribosomal RNA", at positions 523 to 918 of the family's 1533-position model. The record is from RNAcentral.